UGUGUCUCAAAAGUCGGGGACGCUGAGGUAGAGGGUGACAAUUUUUUCGGGACUCCCACGGGUCACGGUAUUCCCGCGGGAGUCCCGCGGUACGGGAGUCAAUUUCACUGUUGGUAACGUGAUAGGGACGGAAUAGAGCACAGAAAUCAACGGGAGCGGGACAG
Sander lucioperca (pikeperch) is the source of this 164-nucleotide long non-coding RNA. RefSeq lists it as uncharacterized. Lineage: Eukaryota; Metazoa; Chordata; Actinopteri; Perciformes; Percidae. The transcript is spliced from 4 exons. The record is from RefSeq and is a predicted model, not a curated record.